CGGGCAGUAGCUCAGUGGUGGAGUUCUCGCUUCAUAUGCGGGAAGACCUGGGUUUGAUCCCUGGCUGCUUAU
This 72-nucleotide transfer RNA is filed under the name Toxocara canis (dog roundworm). It matches the Rfam family "tRNA". From Rfam's summary of the family: Transfer RNA (tRNA) molecules are approximately 80 nucleotides in length. Their secondary structure includes four short double-helical elements and three loops (D, anti-codon, and T loops). Lineage: Eukaryota; Metazoa; Nematoda; Chromadorea; Rhabditida; Toxocaridae. The record is from Rfam by way of RNAcentral.